This 374-nucleotide ribosomal RNA is filed under the name uncultured bacterium. RNAcentral's name for it is "bacterial SSU rRNA". It matches the Rfam family "Bacterial small subunit ribosomal RNA", at positions 524 to 898 of the family's 1533-position model. The record is from RNAcentral.
UACGUAGGGAGCAAGCGUUGUCCGGAAUUACUGGGCGUAAAGGGUGCGUAGGCGGUUUGGAAAGUCAGAUGUGAAAUCCCCGGGCUUAACUCGGGUGUUGCAUUUGAAACUUCCAGACUUGAGUGCAGGAGAGGAAAGCGGAAUUCCUAGUGUAGCGGUGAAAUGCGUAGAUAUUAGGAGGAACACCAGUGGCGAAGGCGGCUUUCUGGACUGUAACUGACGCUGAGGCACGAAAGCGUGGGGAGCAAGCAGGAUUAGAUACCCUGGUAGUCCACGCUGUAAACGAUGGAUACUAGGUGUGGGGGAGAUACAACCUCCGUGCCGGAGCAAACGCAAUAAGUAUCCCGCCUGGGGAGUACGGUCGCAAGGCUGAA